Molecule: non-coding RNA, 612 nt
Organism: Zonotrichia albicollis (white-throated sparrow)
Lineage: Eukaryota; Metazoa; Chordata; Aves; Passeriformes; Passerellidae
Source: RefSeq, a predicted model, not a curated record
GUGUGCUGGCUUUUGUCCUCUGCCACAAGCCAGGCCGCUGCUAUUGAGCUUUGUGAAUGCAGAUUGAACUAAUGGCUUACUUGCGAUGUUUCUGCUGUCCUCUCUUUAGGCCUUCAGCCCAUGACCGAUGGCGAUGACUCGCCCGAAGGAGCCCCCUGAGGUGCCCCGGCCCCGUCGUGUGUGGAACCCCGAGCUGUGCUGGGCUGGGACAGCCGGGGAGGCGCUCCGGGAGGGCGCUGGAGCCUGGGAGAGCAGAUGUGAAGGGAUAACCUGCCCGUGGGACACAGCGAAAGCUCUGGAGCCGCGUGGGUGAGGUAAAUUGUUGGUGUGGGGCUUCCUGGAGCAGCAGGAGUGGUCAGAAGUAAAGCUGUCGAUGCUGCUUUGAAGAGCCUUGUUUGAAAGGUGAAGAUGGAAACCUGGAGCCCACAGUUUAAAUGGGGCAGCUGGAGAAUUUGUUUUCAGAAUGUGGAUGUAGGAAUUGGAAACAUCAAAGGUGGUUGGGGGCAAGGUAUAACAAGAAUUCUGUGUACAAUUUAUUGUUAAUCUCCUCUCAUUGCUUGUUGGAAAUACAUUUUUACAUGACCUCAAUUAAAUGUAUUUAUAUUUAAGCUU